RNAcentral lists this small nuclear RNA (172 nucleotides) under Erpetoichthys calabaricus (reedfish). RNAcentral's name for it is "U2 spliceosomal RNA (ENSECRG00000013197.1)". It matches the Rfam family "U2 spliceosomal RNA". Rfam says of the family: U2 is a small nuclear RNA (snRNA) component of the spliceosome (involved in pre-mRNA splicing). Complementary binding between U2 snRNA (in an area lying towards the 5' end but 3' to hairpin I) and the branchpoint sequence (BPS) of the intron results the bulging out of an unpaired adenosine, on the BPS, which initiates a nucleophilic attack at the intronic 5' splice site, thus starting the first of two transesterification reactions that mediate splicing. The record is from Rfam by way of RNAcentral. Lineage: Eukaryota; Metazoa; Chordata; Cladistia; Polypteriformes; Polypteridae.
AUUUUUAUUUAUUUUUUUGAUAAAAAAAAAUCUGUUCUUAUCAGCUUAAUAUCUGGGGAGCAUACUGUAUAUUAAAUUUUUGGAACAAGGAGAUGGAAUAGGGGCUUGCUCCGUUCACUCCAUGCAUCAAACUGGUAUUGCAGUACUUCCAGGAACUGUGGGUGCACUUUCU